CUGUGAUGUAGUUUACAGUUCUUUGAUUUUUUUCCCCUUCUUUUAAGACCUUCCUUUCCACUUAUCCACCUUACAUAAGUAAUCUGCUGCAAAAGAGUCGAGGCUAGCAGAAACUGGAAAAAGGAUAUGUGUUUGGAGACAACACUAGCUCAGCUUGGAAGCUAGGAAUGCAACUGUAUCUUUUCUCUGUCUGCUUUAGGAGAAGUAUGUCUGGACAGCAGUGACGACACUAACUCUGACUGGAGAUCUCCCUGGUAACACUGGCCCAAGCCUGAGAGACAUGCUGCAACAUGCUGAAUGAUGACUUAAGAUGUAUAGGUGUUGCGAUGGCUUCCUCCUGCUUUGGGCACCCUCGGUCUUUCUGUGAUGCACGGGGGAAGUUUCUUACCUCAGAGCUGAGGACUUGAGAGACUCAUCCAAGCAAGAAGCUGCCUCAGUUUUGUGAUGAGCGAAGUACCCAAGGAGAGAAGCACUGACACAAGGAGAUCAGCACCCUGCGUAUGGGAUUCCCACAGCAGAGCUUGCUUGAGAAGGGAUUUGUAGCUGUUUGCAAGGACAGGCCCAAGGGAGGUGCUGUUUGUUCCAGUGGAAACCAUACAGAAGAGUGGGUUCUUUCAUCCUGCAACACUGUGUGACUCUGCCUCUUCUGACUGCACUUACUCCGCGCAGUGGACUCACCUCCAUCGUCUCCUGGCCUCUCCUUUUCCUCCAGCUUGCCCAAUUUCAAGCCUGAAAUCUGUGCUUGCAGUCUGCAGCCUCUUGUGGCACUGGAGGGCUGAGUGCUUUAGGUAGACAGCACUCAGCCAUGCAAAGCAGCGCUCCCAACGAGGGCAUUGGAGGAGACUCAGCCCAGCAAAGCUGCUGGUGGAGCAGAACUCACUGCCACUGUUUUCCAUAUGUUCCUCCCUAUGGGGGCCUGACUGGACCUCGACCUGAGGAGGGAACAGAAUGGAAAUUUAAUAGAAAGGCGAGUCCCACCCCCAGGGAAGACACAGUACAUCUUCGCUCGCCAUCAUUUUUGGCUGUUGAGGAGAAAGGAUUGAAGGAUGCUUCACAAUCAGCAACUGCACAGAUUCCGUGAGCUACACUUUGGUCCUAUCAAGACAGGCAGGCAGCUGCAUGAGAGGUGGAAAGAGAGAGAAAAUGACUGAGAUGAAAUCACCAACAACAGCUAUUGCAGGAAGAAAGGCACUGUUGGAUCUCAGCCACAGUACUUCUGCAACCUGGUUUGAAUGGGCCUGAUGGGAUGCCAUAAUGGAACCUACACCGAACAAGGUGCGUCUAUCUCAUCUCCUCAGGCAUUCUUGUCAUGGCCACUUGAGAGCCUGGUGAGGAAGAGCAGUGACUGGAAGAGACCAGGUGAAAAACAGACGGAUGGCUUGGAGAUUUAGCCCUCUGCUGGUUCUGUACUUCUGCAACAGAAGAACUUCUGCAACAGCUGAACUUCCAGUAGAU
Molecule: long non-coding RNA, 1455 nt
Filed under: Struthio camelus australis
Lineage: Eukaryota; Metazoa; Chordata; Aves; Struthioniformes; Struthionidae
Description: lncRNA (ENSSCUG00000013604.1)
Source: RNAcentral